CUAUCAUAAGACACCUUUAUGGAGACUUGACAACACAUCUUAAGUGUGUACAAAGCUGCAGAAGAACAUUCAAUGGUUGAGGAACAUCAUGAGCAAAGAUUUAAAACCAACAUGAAAUGACAAGAAAGUCCAACUCCAUGAUUAAAGCUGAAGAAUCCUUAAAUGGAGAAAUGUCUGUUAUCCUCAAUAGGUUGAUUGGGGGAUUUUACUGCUUUGACUCCUUCAGCCACAAAAUGUAUGUAUUCAUUUGUUCAGUGAGUAUUAAGUG
Molecule: long non-coding RNA, 268 nt
Filed under: Capra hircus (goat)
Lineage: Eukaryota; Metazoa; Chordata; Mammalia; Artiodactyla; Bovidae
Description: lncRNA (ENSCHIG00000004313.1)
Source: RNAcentral